This 1147-nucleotide ribosomal RNA is filed under the name Prevotella bivia. Its description in RNAcentral is "bacterial SSU rRNA". It matches the Rfam family "Bacterial small subunit ribosomal RNA", at positions 104 to 1254 of the family's 1533-position model. The record is from RNAcentral. Lineage: Bacteria; Pseudomonadati; Bacteroidota; Bacteroidia; Bacteroidales; Prevotellaceae.
GGGUGAGUAACGCGUAUCCAACCUGCCCAUAACUAAGGGAUAACCCAGCGAAAGUUGGACUAAUACCUUAUGUAUUCGUUUGAUCUCAUGAGAUUACGAAUAAAGAUUUAUCGGUUAUGGAUGGGGAUGCGUCUGAUUAGCUUGUUGGCGGGGUAACGGCCCACCAAGGCAACGAUCAGUAGGGGUUCUGAGAGGAAGGUCCCCCACAUUGGAACUGAGACACGGUCCAAACUCCUACGGGAGGCAGCAGUGAGGAAUAUUGGUCAAUGGACGCAAGUCUGAACCAGCCAAGUAGCGUGCAGGAUGACGGCCCUAUGGGUUGUAAACUGCUUUUAUAUGGGGAUAAAGUGGGGAACGUGUUCCCUUUUGCAGGUACCAUAUGAAUAAGGACCGGCUAAUUCCGUGCCAGCAGCCGCGGUAAUACGGAAGGUUCGGGCGUUAUCCGGAUUUAUUGGGUUUAAAGGGAGCGUAGGCCGUUUGGUAAGCGUGUUGUGAAAUGUAGGAGCUCAACUUCUAGAUUGCAGCGCGAACUGUCAGACUUGAGUGCGCACAACGUAGGCGGAAUUCAUGGUGUAGCGGUGAAAUGCUUAGAUAUCAUGAAGAACUCCGAUUGCGAAGGCAGCUUACGGGAGCGCAACUGACGCUGAAGCUCGAAGGUGCGGGUAUCGAACAGGAUUAGAUACCCUGGUAGUCCGCACAGUAAACGAUGGAUGCCCGCUGUUAGCACCUAGUGUUAGCGGCUAAGCGAAAGCAUUAAGCAUCCCACCUGGGGAGUACGCCGGCAACGGUGAAACUCAAAGGAAUUGACGGGGGCCCGCACAAGCGGAGGAACAUGUGGUUUAAUUCGAUGAUACGCGAGGAACCUUACCCGGGCUUGAAUUGCAGAUGAACGAUUUAGAGAUAAUGAGGUCCUUCGGGACAUCUGUGAAGGUGCUGCAUGGUUGUCGUCAGCUCGUGCCGUGAGGUGUCGGCUUAAGUGCCAUAACGAGCGCAACCCCUUUCUUUAGUUGCCAUCAGGUUCUGCUGGGCACUCUGGAGAUACUGCCACCGUAAGGUGUGAGGAAGGUGGGGAUGACGUCAAAUCAGCACGGCCCUUACGUCCGGGGCUACACACGUGUUACAAUGGGUGGUACAGAUAGUUGGUCGU